This 464-nucleotide ribosomal RNA is filed under the name Vreelandella stevensii. RNAcentral's name for it is "partial 16S ribosomal RNA". It matches the Rfam family "Bacterial small subunit ribosomal RNA", at positions 338 to 794 of the family's 1533-position model. Lineage: Bacteria; Pseudomonadati; Pseudomonadota; Gammaproteobacteria; Oceanospirillales; Halomonadaceae. The record is from RNAcentral.
CCUACGGGUGGCAGCAGUGGGGAAUAUUGGACAAUGGGCGAAAGCCUGAUCCAGCCAUGCCGCGUGUGUGAAGAAGGCCUUCGGGUUGUAAAGCACUUUCAGUGGGGAAGAAAGCCUUGGGGCUAAUACCCUCGAGGAAGGACAUCACCCACAGAAGAAGCACCGGCUAACUCCGUGCCAGCAGCCGCGGUAAUACGGAGGGUGCGAGCGUUAAUCGGAAUUACUGGGCGUAAAGCGCGCGUAGGCGGUCUGAUAAGCCGGUUGUGAAAGCCCCGGGCUCAACCUGGGAACGGCAUCCGGAACUGUCAGGCUAGAGUGCAGGAGAGGAAGGUAGAAUUCCCGGUGUAGCGGUGAAAUGCGUAGAGAUCGGGAGGAAUACCAGUGGCGAAGGCGGCCUUCUGGACUGACACUGACGCUGAGGUGCGAAAGCGUGGGUAGCAAACAGGAUUAGAUACCCUAGUAGU